AACUCUUCAACUAGCGAAAACUCAACUAGCGUAAACUCUUCAACUAGCGUAAACUCUUCAACUAGCGAAAACUCUUCAACUAGCGAAAACUCAACUAGCCGUAACUCUUCAAUUAGCGUAAACUCUUCAACUAGCGAAAACUCCAACUAGCGUAAACUCUUCAACUAGCGUAAACUCUUCAACUAGCAUUAACUGUUCAACUAACGUAAACUUUUCAAUUAGCGUAAACUUUUCAACUAGCAUAAACUCUUCAACUAGCGUAAACUUUUCAAUUAGCGUAAACUUUUCAACUAGCGUAAACUCUUCAACUAGUGUAAACUCUUCAGUUAGCGUAAACUCUUCAAUUAGUGUAACUCAACUAGCGUAAACUCUUCAACUAGCGUAAACUCUCACAGAAUUAAGCUGAAUGUUCAGAUCUAACAAACAUUCUGUGGAGAAAAGCCAAAC
Molecule: long non-coding RNA, 447 nt
Organism: Ictalurus punctatus (channel catfish)
Lineage: Eukaryota; Metazoa; Chordata; Actinopteri; Siluriformes; Ictaluridae
Source: Ensembl